GGUUUGGCACCUCGAUGUCGGCUCAUCACAUCCUGGGGCUGGAGAAGGUCCCAAGGGUUGGGCUGUUCGCCCAUUAAAGUGGUACGUGAGCUGGGUUUAGAACGUCGUAAGACAGUUCGGUCUCUAUCCGCCGUGGGCGUAGGAAACUUGAGGGAUGCUGUUCCCAGUACGAGAGGACCGGAACGGACGAACCUCUGGUGCACCAGUUGUCUCAUCAGAGGCAUCGCUGGGUAGCUACGUUCGGUUGGGAUAAGCGCUGAAAGCAUAUAAGCGCGAAACCCUUCCCAAGAUAAGGUUUCCCUUCCCCUUCGGGGGAGUAAAGGCUUCCCGUAGACUACGGGAUUGAUAGGUCACAGGUGUAAGUUCGGUAACGAAUUCAGCCGAGUGAUACUAAUCAGCCGUCAGGCUUUUCCUCA
This 416-nucleotide ribosomal RNA is filed under the name Fidelibacterota bacterium. Its description in RNAcentral is "bacterial LSU rRNA". It matches the Rfam family "Bacterial large subunit ribosomal RNA", at positions 2515 to 2925 of the family's 2925-position model. The record is from RNAcentral. Lineage: Bacteria; Pseudomonadati; Fidelibacterota.